GAAGGCCCUGGGAACCCAUGAACUGGCCAUGAAACCAGAGGAUGUCACUGACAGGGAGGACCGGCAGGGAGCUAAGUCACUCUUCAAAACAAAAAGCAAAAAUCAGGCCUCAGAGUUGUAUAACUGUAGUUAGAAGACCAAAUUCUUUCAAAGACAGAGAAUGCUAAUCCCUUGCUUCUUUCGGCAUUCUAUAUUCUAACUCUAUGGGGUGCAUUUUAUUUCAUAACCUGGAAAAAAAGAUGUUGUUGCAUUAACUUUGCAAGAUAUGGAAGGAGCUAGCAUUUGUUCAACGUCAGUUACACAACUGGUUAUUUUUCUAAACUUCUCCUCAUUUUAUCCUACAAAAAUCACCUAAGGUGAAUGAGGUUGUUAUUCUUAUUUUUUACAGUUGGGGAUACGAGGUUUUUUAAAGUAACUUGCCCAGAUUAAGUGGUGGAUCUGGGAUUCAGACUCACUGCUAUUAAAAACUAAAGACUGAGUCUUAUUUUCUAUGUUAGUGUUUCUCAAAUAUGCAUGGUAAGAGUUCAGCAGAUUGUGAAACCUCACUACUUUUUAAAAUAAAAUAGAAAAGAAGAGAAAAUAUCAGCAAGCAUGACAUGUUGAAGGGAUUGAGAAAGGGUGAGGCUAAGGUCCCGAGCCUUCGUGAAGCAAUGGAGAAAGUGCCGUCCCAAGGCUCAGUUCCACACGGCGCUGUGAGGCUGAAGGGGCUCACUGGAAGUUCCCCUCACAGGACGCCACCUCACCUGAAACCCUCUUUUUCUGCUACCAUCCAAGGGACAAGAUCUCCUGAGUUGUCGAAGACUCACUCCGGAAGAAAACCCUCUCAGGCAGUUACUGAGGGACUGUGGUCUGGACUAGAACGUGUUUUUCUCAGUGACACCUCUAGAGGGCAGCACUCAACGGAGUCCCACAGACACCUCCCUGCAUUUCCUCCUCAGACACUGGGUGGAUGAUAUGGUAACACUGGGGAAUGCUUGGGUGUUCUCCUGGAAGCUCCUUAUUUUAAUCACCUGUUUACUUGUCUCCAUUCUUAUAGAUAUGUAGGCUACCCGAGGGCAGAGACUGAGUCUGUCUUGUUCACUGUCUACCUCCAGAACCUCACACAGAAUCUGGCACUUAGUAGGUGCACAACAAAAUAAUCAUUGAAUUAGUAUACUGAGUCUUUAACAGAGUCUCUUUCUGUUUAUUGAGUUGACACGAUGUAUCCAAAAGCAGCUGAAUGCACAACUCAAACUGUCAUCCAAGCACACAAAGAAGGCAUUGAUGAAAAAGCUGAGACAGGUUACAACGGGAGUGCCAGAGAGAUGUCACUUAAAAUGAGAACUUCUCAGGGUUUGAGAAAGGUGAGUCCCAAGCCCUCGUGAAGCAUUGGAGAAAGUGCCGCCCCGAGGUUCAGGUCCACACAGCGCUGUGAGGCUGAAGGGGCGCGCUAGAAGUUCCUUUCACAGGACGCCACCUCACCUGAAACCCUCCUUUUCUGCUGACACCCGAGGGACAAGAUCUUCUGAGUUUUUCCAUUACUUACUCUGGAGGAAAACCCUCAGGCAGUUAGUUACUGAGGGACUCUGGUCUGGACUGGGAAGUGUUUUUCUCAGUGACACCUCUAGAAGGCAGCACUUAGCGGAGUCCCACAGACACCUCCCAGCAUUUCCUGCUCAAACACUGGGAGGAUGGCCUGGUAACACUGGGGAAUGCCUGGGUGUUCUAGAAGCCCCCACCCCUGAUUUUAACCACGUGUUUUCUUAUCUGAGUCCUUGUAGACAUGUAUGUAGUCUGCCUUAGGGCAGGAAUUGUGUCUACCUUGUUCACUGCCAAUCCUCAGGACAGAACCUGGCACUUAAUAGGUGCACAACAAAAUAACCACUGGCUGAAUAUACUCAGUAUUUAACAGGCAGUUUGUCACAAUCCACUCCCUCCCUGACCUCAUUGUGGUUUAUAGUUUAUGUUUAAUGACAUUUAGUUUCCAUGUACUUAGCAUUUUAUUGUAUAAAUUUCUCAUAUAUAUAAAAAAUACACAUAAAAUACAAUGGUCCUCUUUGUUUCAAUCAUCUAGCUGCAGUAAUCACCAACCCAAGCCUGUCUUUCAUUUGUAUGCCCAGCUUCUCUCCUCCUCUGUCAUAAUAUGAAACAAAUCUGAGGUAUCAUAUUAUCUCAUCCUAAAUACUUCAGUGUGUAUCUCUGAAACAUAACAGAAACAUCAUACCUAACAUCACAAAAUGACACUAAAAAAUUUAACAGUAAUUCUUUAAUAUUAUCUAACAUUCAAUCAAUAUUCAGGUUUCUAAUUUUUAUGUGUCAUAAGUUAUAUUUUAUAGUUUGUUUAAAUCCUAAUGCAAAUAAGGUCCACUCAUUGUGAUUAGUUAAUUCUUUUCAAAAUAUAUUUUAAUUGUUCAUGUGUUCUUUUUCAUGUGCUCUUUAAUGGACAGAUUUUUAAAUUUUCAUUUGGUAAAAUUUGUCCAUUUUAAAAAAAUAACUGGGGAUGCUUUUAUUUGAGGCCAAAAUAUUCACAGGUCAUCUAGUAUGGAAGUCUCUUGGCUUACUAAAAUAUUUUGAUACAGUCAAUUAGGUCCAACUUAAGAUGACCUAACUUAGAACAUACCUCCACUCCAGCUGCAGCCAAGAGCCACCGGAUGGGCUCCAUUCUGCCCCGUCCAUUGAAGUAGUGAAGCUUGGGCUUCCCUGCCAUGAAUUGGAAAAAACUUCUUUAAAGUUCAUAUGGAACAAAAAAGAGCCCGCAUCAUCAAGUCAAUCCUAAGCCAAAAGAACAAAGCUGGAGGCAUCACACUAUCUCACUUCAAACUAUACUACAAGGCUACAGUAACCAAAACAGCAUGGUACUGGUACCAAAACAGAGAUAUAGAUCAAUGGAACAGAACAGAGCCCUUAGAAAUAACGCCGCAUAUCUACAACUAUCUGAUCUUUGACAAACCUGACAAAAACAAGCAAUGGGGAAAGGAUUC
RNAcentral lists this long non-coding RNA (2960 nucleotides) under Homo sapiens (human). RNAcentral's name for it is "HSALNT0334666". The record is from RNAcentral. Lineage: Eukaryota; Metazoa; Chordata; Mammalia; Primates; Hominidae.